This 77-nucleotide transfer RNA is filed under the name Caudoviricetes sp. RNAcentral describes it as "tRNA-Arg". It matches the Rfam family "tRNA". Rfam says of the family: Transfer RNA (tRNA) molecules are approximately 80 nucleotides in length. The record is from RNAcentral. Lineage: Duplodnaviria; Heunggongvirae; Uroviricota; Caudoviricetes.
GCGCCAGUAGCUCAACUGGAUAGAGCAUAGGACUUCUAAUCCUAAGGCUGGGGGUUCGAUUCCUCUCUGGCGUACCA